Long non-coding RNA from Mizuhopecten yessoensis (Yesso scallop), 243 nucleotides. RefSeq lists it as uncharacterized. Lineage: Eukaryota; Metazoa; Mollusca; Bivalvia; Pectinida; Pectinidae. The record is from RefSeq and is a predicted model, not a curated record. The transcript is spliced from 2 exons.
ACAGGACGAACCUCGAUUCGGAUCACGAUGGUGUGAUGUGUCUGGUUCUGAAUCCCUUGAAUGGCGGGAAACUUCUCUCCCAACUAGCCAAUGGAGGUGACCGCUACCAGAAUCAGGUGAAGACCAUCUUCUUCAUGGAACCGAUUUAUUUGUACGAAACCUGCGACCUGAUAGACACGCCACUAGAGGGCAUUGUCAUGCAGCCUCUCAUCGAACCUUAAUAAAACGAUUUGUUAAUAUCUC